AUGAUGAGCGAUACACACCGUAUGUGGGAGACAGGACUCCUCCCUUUCAUUCAAUUGGUCAGCCGGUCGACGCCACCCCUCAAUGUUGCAGCAAUCACCGCGCUUACUGAUCGUUGGCGGCCGGAGACACACAGUUUCCAUCUUCGGACCGGGGAGAUGACCGUGACACUCCAGGAUAUUGCUAUGAUCACCGGUCUUCCUAUCGAGGGUAAUCCUCUAUGUAUGAGCACCGAUUCAGAUGGGUGGCGCGAGCAGAUGCAUGCCCUUAUCGGUAUGGUUCCUCCGGAGCCUCGGCAACCAGCAGCAGAAGACAAGAAGAAGGAAAGAGUCGCAGCCGGUGCUCCUUUCACCUGGGUUGCAUGGAACUUUGCUAAUUGCCCCGAGAAGGCUAAUGAGGAUGAGGCCAAGACAUAUGCUCGUGUCUACAUGUGGUACGUUAUAUCCAGGACUAUGUUUGCUAAUGGCACGGGCAAGAAUGCUCCAUGGAUGUGGCUGAAGGCGUUGACCAUCUUCGAUAGCAAAUGGAGUUGGGGUUCGGCGACACUGGCUUACUUGUAUAGACAGUUGGAUGAAGCCUCUUGUAGGAAAUCAGGAGGUAUUGGUGGUUGUAUGCUUGCACUUUCUAUAUGGAGCUGGGAGCGAUUGCCGGUUAGACGACCGAAGACCAUGAAGUACGAGGAUUGGAACGACCAUGACGACCCACUACGGUACCCCACUUGGGCUUACAAGUGGGAUGUGGUAAAUGAGACGACGGAUAAUCCCUCGGUCGUGUACAAGUUGUACAAGAGCGAGCUGGACACGAUCAUGGCUGAACAGGUGGAAUGGGAGCCGUAUGGAAAAGGGGAUAGUUUUGGUAACCUUAGAGACUUUGUGCUGAAUCCGAUGUGCCUUAGGGAUAGGGAUCUUAGGCAUAUGUGGUGCCCACUCAUAUGCAACUGGGCGGUUGAGCUUCACCCGCCACAUCAGGUGUACCGCCAAUUCGGUUUGUUCCAGCCACACCCGCCGAAGUGGGAGGACACGGACAAGUGUUUACACGCGUUUGAUAGGAGAAGGCAGCGGAAGGUCAAGCAUUGGGACAAGCAUCACAGGAAUUAUAUCAUACAGUUUGCACUUAGUGUGGAGCUGUUGGGGAAUGUAGUAAUUUCAAAAAAAAAUCCUACGCACACGCAAGAUCAUGGUGAUGCAUAG
Molecule: ribosomal RNA, 1188 nt
Filed under: Triticum aestivum (bread wheat)
Lineage: Eukaryota; Viridiplantae; Streptophyta; Magnoliopsida; Poales; Poaceae
Description: partial small subunit ribosomal RNA
Source: RNAcentral